AAGUCCGUCUGUUUGUUUGGCACUGCAUUACCCAAGACGCAUCUGUUCUUUUGUAGUUCUAAUUGUACGUAGCUGAGUAGGUUGUUUUUCAGUGCUUCUGUGUGGCUCGGUGGCAUGGAAGUGGCAUCUGCGGACAUCCACCAUCAAUCCUUCUUCGGUCUUUCGUGUAUGAAACCUGUGUGCGUUUUUUAUGAUAUAACCACACACACACACACAUACGAAAAAUCAAUAAACUUCUGAGCUGCACCGUUGGAGUCGUCCUAUUCCUUCUGACCGAGGAAGAUUCAAUUAAUGAGAGAUCUGGAUUAAGCACACACAGGCUUCUGCAAAGACUUUUGAGGAUGCACAGACACCCUCGAUGAGUGUUUGAUGGCACUCAUUGGCUUGACCAAUAUUCAGCUAAAGUCAAAGGGAGUCAACAAUGAUCUAUCUCUUAUAAGACGGAGCUCUAUAGACACAACUUUACACAGCUUGAGAAUGCCUUUUGGAGCCUUUUCUCUUUUUUUAAACAAUUGCAGAUUUCAUCAUCAGUGGGAAAACAUAAUGCAAGUCCAAGUUAUUCAGAUGUUCCACUACUUUGACAAGAUGUAAGCGUAAGACCCAAAGUGUCCCGCUCUGAAGAAAAGAAACCACUCGGGAUGUUCAGGAAUCCACCAAGACUCAACCAUGGCAGGAGCUAGAAUCUGUUAGUUUGGUCUGAGAUUAUUUUUCAGGCAAAAUUGAAGAGAUGUUUGGAAGGUUUGGCAUAAAUUAACCAGCGGUUUACAGAGGAAAUUAGGAGGCACUAAAGAGGAGAGAAACAUCAGCUACAUCAGGAUUCUGGAAAGGAACACCCAAAGAUUCCUGGAAUUGUCCCGGUAUGACGUCCAUCUAUCAUCUGUUCGCACAUGUCCAUGAUUCACUGCCAGCUUGUCUCUCAUUGGUUGAUCCAAGUCCUCAUCAGUCAGAUUCGCUUCAGGACACCGUUCAUCAGUUCCUCCCGGAAACAUCUCGAUUCAGAGCAACACUUGAUGGGAGUCGAUUUGAGGGAAACGGUGAUAACGGUGAGAUCUUGCUGUUUGAAAUGUCUCCGUGUUUUCAUUAAACGAGGCCAGAGUCUGGCAGCGGCCAGAAGUUGGUCUGCUGUGCCUUGAGGACGGAUACCAGCGGGAAGGGAAUGUCCUCUGCUGGCGUCUACUGGCAAAGGAAUUCUGGGAUUUGCAGGAGACGUAAAGACCCUAGAAAAAAAGAAGAAGAGUUAAGUAAUUAGAAAUCUGCCACAACUUUCAAAUGUAGGACCAUCAGUGGAGGCCAUGUGUCUGCGGCCGAACUCAGAUGUGGAGGAUGAAAUCCUGUCGGAAAUCAGGCUAAUUUGUUAAUGCCUUUUGCCUUUCUCCAUCUGGGAAGGAUUUUCUUUUGCCUGAUGGAUGCGGGCGGAAUAGAAGACAGAUGGGGCAACAAGCUGAAUAAAUAACAACUUGCAGAUCAUCAGCUGAAAGGAGGAAAAACUGGGACAAACUGUUUAAAUUCAACCUAUAUAUGAAGAAAACUAUGAAUGGAAAAGGAAGAAAGAAAAAAAAAAAAAAGAAACACCAUACUGCCAAAAGGUUUAAAACCGUUGAAUCCCCUUCUGUGGUGAAAACAGCACCGACUGUGUCAUGUCUAAGACAUUACAAAUUCCAUCACAAAGGCACAAUAACAUAGAUUACAAAAACUGAAAAUACUUUAAGAUACAUAACCAGCAAUAAAAGACAAAUGCAACUCAAUCAAUUGCAAUUGAAAUCAACUCAAAGGACUACAAAUCAUACAACAGGGUCAGCGGACGGAAAGUGCAGAGAGGCCGUCGACUUUCUCCGGACU
Long non-coding RNA from Xiphophorus couchianus (Monterrey platyfish), 1839 nucleotides. RefSeq lists it as uncharacterized. Lineage: Eukaryota; Metazoa; Chordata; Actinopteri; Cyprinodontiformes; Poeciliidae. The transcript has 5 exons. The record is from RefSeq and is a predicted model, not a curated record.